RNAcentral lists this ribosomal RNA (136 nucleotides) under uncultured eukaryote. RNAcentral's name for it is "partial 18S ribosomal RNA". It matches the Rfam family "Eukaryotic small subunit ribosomal RNA", at positions 1299 to 1458 of the family's 1831-position model. The record is from RNAcentral.
UGGUGGAGUGAUCUGUCUGGUUAAUUCCGAUAACGAACGAGACCUCAGCCUGCUAACUAGACCGAUCUAAUUUCUUAGUUUGCGUCUUCUUAGAGGGACUUCCGGAGCUAUUCGGAGGAAGUGUGAGGCAAUAACA